RNAcentral lists this ribosomal RNA (443 nucleotides) under uncultured bacterium. Its description in RNAcentral is "partial 16S ribosomal RNA". It matches the Rfam family "Bacterial small subunit ribosomal RNA", at positions 338 to 795 of the family's 1533-position model. The record is from RNAcentral.
CCUACGGGAGGUAGCAGUGGGGAAUAUUGGACAAUGGGGGGAACCCUGAUCCAGCGACGCCGCGUGAGUGAAGAAGUAUUUCGGUAUGUAAAGCUCUAUCAGCAGGGAAGCAAGAAAUGACGGUACCUGACUAAGAAGCCCCGGCUAACUACGUGCCAGCAGCCGCGGUAAUACGUAGGGGGCAGGCGGUAUCCGGGUUUACUGGGUGUAAAGGGAGCGUAGACGGCGAUGCAAGUCUGAAGUGAAAGGCGGGGGCCCAAACCCUGGCCUGCCUUGGAAACUGUAUGGCUGGAGUGCAGGAGAGGUAAGCGGAAUUCCUGGUGUAGCGGUGAAAUGCGUAGAUAUUAGGCGGAACACCAGUGGCGAAGGCGGCUUACUGGACUGUAACUGACGCUGAGGCUCGAAAGCGUGGGGAGCGAACAGGAUUAGAUACCCGAGUAGUC